CUCUUGGAAAAGUCCCUGUCCCCCCGCACCAAGGAAAAUCCAGGGACCUCCACGCUGUAGUCCGGAAUAAGCGAGUGCAGCCAGGUUUCCGUGAAGCAGAAGAUACUGCACUCCCUGUACUCCUUCUGGGUCCUAACCAGCGCCACCUGCAGCCCCGUCGUCUCCUCCGUAACUCCUCUGGGACCACAGGCCCGUCUCCGGGCAGCAGCAGAGGCCCACACAGCGCAAUCAGCCAUUCACGCGAGCAAACAAUGCCGCUACUCCGCUCGGCGAGGUUCUCCGCAACCAAGAG
This is a long non-coding RNA of Xiphophorus hellerii (green swordtail), 292 nucleotides long. RefSeq lists it as uncharacterized. Lineage: Eukaryota; Metazoa; Chordata; Actinopteri; Cyprinodontiformes; Poeciliidae. The transcript is spliced from 2 exons. The record is from RefSeq and is a predicted model, not a curated record.